UCUAGCAAAUGUGCAUACCUAUCUCAGCUAGGUACCUAGAACGCUUGGUGGGUUAUAUGACCUCCUGCGAGUGGUCACCAUAUGUUAAAGAUAAAGACCAUAGAAGGUUUCCCGCGGUCGGAGAUAUACCGAUCCGUGGGUCUAGAAAUAAGUAAUUUCCAUUCUCAUGUUAGCUACCUAAGCUAGGAUUUUAAGAAAUAAAUUUAGUUUGAAAUAUCAACUCAACAACGUCAGACGCUCGUUUUAUGUACAGCCUCUCUCGACAUUUUGGUCCUUCGAGCGCUUUGCAACCUUCCCCCCUGUGACGCGUGUCUCUUUUUUUACAGCCUCUCUGACAUUUUGUGGUACUUUGGCCGCUCGAUCAAAGACGUCAGACGCUUGUUUCAUGUACAGCCUCUCUCGACAUUUUUGUCCUUCGGCCGCUCUGCAACUUUCCCCCCUGUGGUAAGAGGUUCAGAGUUAUAAACCAGCACCUUAAAAGUAUUAAGGUUGCUAAAAAUAAAAAUCUCUUGUGUCCCCCCACCCGUGGUAAGGAACAGAGAAUAAAUAUAUGAACAAAAAGACACAAAAGAGUCUUUUAUGUUUUAAAAUACUAGCACCAUUUAGGUUGCUGAAAUACCAUGGAAGAAAUGGUAAGGCGUGCUGAAGCCAUGAAUAUCAGUAGUGAAUGUGUUUAAAAGAAAAGAAAAAAAAAAAAAAAAGAUAUAAAAAGUGCAUUAAAUUAAAAAAUAAUACAAAAAAAAAAAAAACAAAAAAUUGUUCCACCUCCAUUGGUUGGUUUUUUAAGUAUCCAACUCAAGACGGGUACAGAAGGAGGGAAGACCGCACGGCAGCAAAGAAGUCUGCAAAAACAACUACAGCCGCAGCGACGAUACAGGCGGCAUCAGAAAAUCGUCCUACAGCCAACAACGGCGGCAGCGACGACAGCAGCAGCAGAAACAACAACAUCAACAUUAAAGACGACGGCGGCGCGGCAGAAGCGGAAGAAGCAGCAGCUUAGUCAACUUUAUUAAAAAUUCUUUUUUAUUAGAAAUAUAAUUA
Molecule: non-coding RNA, 1041 nt
Organism: Drosophila kikkawai
Lineage: Eukaryota; Metazoa; Arthropoda; Insecta; Diptera; Drosophilidae
Source: RefSeq, a predicted model, not a curated record